GUACUUUCAGCAGUGAGGAAGGUGGAUAUGUUAAUAGCAUAUUCAUUUGACGUUAGCUGCAGAAGAAGCACCGGCUAACUCCGUGCCAGCAGCCGCGGUAAUACGGAGGGUGCGAGCGUUAAUCGGAAUUACUGGGCGUAAAGCGCAUGCAGGUGGUUUGUUAAGUCAGAUGUAGAAACGGCCCGGGGCUCAACCUACGGAAUUGCUAUUUAGAAACUGGACAAACUAGAGUACUGUAGAGGGGGUAGAAUUUCAGGUGUAGCGGUGAAAUGCGUAGAGAUCUGAAGGAAUACCGGUGGCGAAGGCGGCCCCCUGGACAGAUACUGACACUCAGAUGCGAAAGCGUGGGGAGCAAACAGGAUUAGAUACCCUGGUAG
This 377-nucleotide ribosomal RNA is filed under the name uncultured bacterium. RNAcentral describes it as "bacterial SSU rRNA". It matches the Rfam family "Bacterial small subunit ribosomal RNA", at positions 430 to 793 of the family's 1533-position model. The record is from RNAcentral.